This 1334-nucleotide ribosomal RNA is filed under the name uncultured bacterium. RNAcentral describes it as "partial 16S ribosomal RNA". It matches the Rfam family "Bacterial small subunit ribosomal RNA", at positions 28 to 1381 of the family's 1533-position model. The record is from RNAcentral.
GAUGAACGCUGGCGGCGUGCUUAACACAUGCAAGUCGAACGGAAAGGCCCCUGUUGCUUGGAGCUCUCGUGUGGAACAGGUGAGAAACACACGUGUGAUCUGCCCUGCGCUUCUUGAUAUACCUGUGAAACUGGGUCUCAUACCCCAUAGGACCCCUUCUUGUAGGUGGUGGUGGAAAAUUUUUUCUCUGUGGGAUAAGAUCUCGCCCUAUCUCCUUGUGGGGGGGGUAAUGUGCUACCCAGGCGUCUACAGGUAUCCCCCCUGAGAGAGUGUACAGCCACAUUGUGACUGAGAUACACCCCCCACACCUACAGGAGGCACCACUGGGGAAUAUUGCGCACUGUGCGCAAGCCUGAUACACCGACACCCCGCGGGGGAUAACACCCUUCUCGUUGUAAACUCUUUUCUCCCCAAACAAAAUUUUACAGUAUUUGUAGAAAAAACACCCCCUAUCUAUAUGCCACCACCCGCGCUAAUACACAUGGUGCGAGAGCUGUCCCCAAUUACUGGGCGUAAAGAGCUCGUAGGUGGUUUGUCGCGUCGUUUGUGCAUACCCGGCUUAACUGUGCGACUGCAGGCGAUACGGGCAUAACUUGAGUGCUGUAGGGGAGACUGGAAUUCCUGGUGUAGCGGUGAAAUGCGCAGAUAUCAGGAGGAACACCGAUGGCGAAGGCAGGUCUCUGGGCAGUAACUGACGCUGAGGAGCGAAAGCAUGGGGAGCGAACAGGAUUAGAUACCCUGGUAGUCCAUGCCGUAAACGGUGGGCGCUAGGUGUGAGUCCCUUCCACGGGGUUCGUGCCGUAGCUAACGCAUUAAGCGCCCCGCCUGGGGAGUACGGCCGCAAGGCUAAAACUCAAAGGAAUUGACGGGGGCCCGCACAAGCGGCGGAGCAUGUGGAUUAAUUCGAUGCAACGCGAAGAACCUUACCUGGGCUUGACAUACACCAGAUCGCCGCAGAGAUGUGGUUUCCCUUGUGGUUGGUGUACAGGUGGUGCAUGGUUGUCGUCAGCUCGUGUCGUGAGAUGUUGGGUUAAGUCCCGCAACGAGCGCAACCCUUGUCUUAUGUUGCCAGCACAUAAUGGUGGGGACUCAUGAGAGACUGCCGGGGUUAACUCGGAGGAAGGUGGGGAUGACGUCAAAUCAUCAUGCCCCUUAUGUCCAGGGCUUCACACAUGCUACAAUGGUCGGUACAACGCGCAGCUUCCCUGUGAGGGGGAGCGAAUCGCUGUAAAGCCGGCCGUAGUUCGGAUUGGGGUCUGCAACUCGACCCCAUGAAGUCGGAGUCGCUAGUAAUCGCAGAUCAGCAACGCUGCGGUGAAUACGUUCCCGGGCCU